This 652-nucleotide long non-coding RNA is filed under the name Gallus gallus (chicken). RNAcentral's name for it is "long non-coding RNA NONGGAT002343". The record is from RNAcentral. Lineage: Eukaryota; Metazoa; Chordata; Aves; Galliformes; Phasianidae.
CCCGUCGGUACCGCCUCCGUUACCGGGUUCUCAGCUGUCUGAACCGGCACGGCUCGCUCCGAAGCCCCGUCAGGGGAAGCUCGGUGCGCUGACACAGCCGUGCUCACGCCUCCCUCCCACUUCUGCGUAACUCUGGAAACUCCGCUGUGCUGCUGCUGAGGAGGGGAAAUUCUGCUGUGGUUUUCUGUUGCGAUCUGCACCACGAGCGUUUAAAGGCGCGCUGUGCGUUCAGCCGCUGCCCGGCGGUGCGGCCGUGCCCUUUCAGAAGCGCGCUGUGACGGUGACGUCCGGCCUUUGCUUUGCAGCGUGCGCUGCGCUGCCCGCCGCCCCGCCGCCGUCUCUGCAGCGCUGGGCGAAGCGGAGCCGCCCGGAGCCGUUCCUGUGCGGAGCCGCCCGCUGUGCCGCCCCACCGACGCACGAAAUACCCCGCCAGCCCCACGAAGGGCAAGAAAUACAUUGCAUGUAUCAAGCCGUUUCCAAUGAUGAUGCUAAGGAAAAAGAGCCCUGCCCUGGUCUAGCAUUUGCCAGUGUGAUGAAAUAUGUACCUCAAUUCUGUCUUUUUCUGCCUCUGGAGAGAUUCCCGCACUGAGCUGGGCCUGGAUCGGCAGGCUGCAGGUCUCGGUGCUGGAGACAAGGAGGUGCAGAGGGGUGG